This 237-nucleotide long non-coding RNA is filed under the name Hordeum vulgare. Its description in RNAcentral is "long non-coding RNA (HVUL_LNC004148)". The record is from RNAcentral. Lineage: Eukaryota; Viridiplantae; Streptophyta; Magnoliopsida; Poales; Poaceae.
GAAAAGAAGAGAUACAUAUACAGAGUUGGCUUACACUCGCCACAAGCUACAUCAGAGUCACAUCAGUACGUUGCAUAAUCAUCAAGAGUAAGAGCAGGGUCCGACUACGGACAAAAACAAACGAGAAAAAUAAGAACGACGUCCAUCCUUGCUAUCCCAGGCUGCCGGCCUGGAACCCAUCCUAGAUCGAUGAAGAAGAAGGAGAAGAAGAAGCAACUCCAAAUGUACAACCAACGC